RNAcentral lists this long non-coding RNA (1367 nucleotides) under Gallus gallus (chicken). RNAcentral describes it as "lncRNA (ENSGALG00010010353.1)". Lineage: Eukaryota; Metazoa; Chordata; Aves; Galliformes; Phasianidae. The record is from RNAcentral.
CAAGAAGACAAGCUGCACAAGUCACUAACUUACUUUCUGAAACGUGUGUCAAGCCUGGAGUUUUUCACUUAUUUAUAUAAUACAGACUUUGCAGUGACUUGUUACUCAAUAGAGACAUGACCAGGAAGAUACAAACCAUUCAGACCCAGCCAUCACAGGACUUGUAAGCCAUCAGAAAACUUCGUAAUUCUAAACACUUUGGUGCUGGUCAAAUUGACUUACAUGUCAGUCAGAAAGCUUGGUCACUUUCUGCAAUUCCUGUACUGACCCAGGCAGAAGACACCAAAUGCAAGCAUCUCUGAAUAUCCAGCUCACAUCUCAGAUGAAGUUUUGAGCCCACUGGCCAAAGAUGGCUUGAAACCAAGCCAUCAGAACAGGCUGGCCACUGCCCAUCAGUGUAAGGUGCAACUAAAUUACUGUGCUAAGGGCACUUUCGGGCACACUCGGUGCAAUUUGCCCAGGGAUAUGCCUAAGUUUGGUCAGUGCCUGAAGUUUCUACCAGAGGUCCCCCAGAUUGGAAAGUCUCUAUUGACAAAGUUUCAGCACCAAGAUAUUAUCCAAAAUUCAGAGGAGGAAAAGGGCCCUGGAGCUCCUGGAGACCUGGGCCUCAGGAUCUUUGAGCGUUGCAUCCAGCUCAGGAGUUACACGAAGCAACCCAAGCUCCACCAAGCAACUCUGAAUUAUGGAAUGGAAAUUUAUCAAAGGUCACUUGGAAGUGGGAAUUGCAAACUUUUUACUGGAAAAACAAAAAAUAAGAAUACCCUUUUGAUCUUGUUGUUGAUGUUAAUUUGUUUUUAUUUUUCCCCCCUCAAUGUUUUUGUCUGAAAUGACAAGUUCUUUAAUCACCUCCUCCUAAGAUACAUUUUGAAUUUAUUUGUGUCCGCCUUUUCCCAUGAAAGGUAAAGAUUUCCCAGAAGAUUACUUCACACAGUGUGCAUACCCACAAAUGUCCUUCUCCUCCAUCAUCUCCAAGAAGGGACCACUUGUCCUAUACACUGCAAAGAAAGAUUAUUAUUUUUACUUGAUUGUUAAUUAAUUUAAUAUUUAAUACCAUACCUUGGUGGGGAAGAGGCUAACAAAACCUUGCCAGACUACAUGCGGUGGGCUGUAUUAGGAGUCUGUGUGAGUGGCCACAUCUCACACUGCGGAGCAGUUGUUGGAGGGAGGCACUGCCCUCAGUAGUACAGCAGCACCAGCAUUUUCUGGUUGCAUACUGAGUAGGAAGAUAAGAUAUGAGAGUAUAGGUCAAUGCCGCAUCAGAUAUACCAGAUAACACUGGAAUCCUUUGCAUAUUCAAGCAGGAUAGGCCCCAGAAUAAGCUCAAUCCACCCAGCAAGUAUUUCAGGAAUGCACCUGGGAUGUAGUGU